UAAUAGCGUAUAUUUAAGUUGUUGCAGUUAAAAAGCUCGUAGUCGGAUUUUGGCUGAGAACGAUCGGUCCGCCGUUAGGUGUGCACUGAUUGGUCUCAGCUUCCUGGUGAGGAGGUGUGCUUCACGGCCACUUAGUCACCGUGGUUACUUUGAAAAAAUUAGAGUGUUCAAAGCGGGCUUACGCUUGAAUAUAUUAGCAUGGAAUAACACCAUAGGACUCCUGUCCUAUUUCGUUGGUCUCGGGACGGGAGUAAUGAUUAAGAGGAACAGUUGGGGGCAUUCGUAUUUCAUUGUCAGAGGUGAAAUUCUUGGAUUUAUGAAAGACGAACUUCUGCGAAAGCAUUUGCCAAGGAUGUUUUCAUUGA
RNAcentral lists this ribosomal RNA (365 nucleotides) under uncultured eukaryote. RNAcentral describes it as "partial 18S ribosomal RNA". It matches the Rfam family "Eukaryotic small subunit ribosomal RNA", at positions 592 to 976 of the family's 1831-position model. The record is from RNAcentral.